GGCUGUAACCGGCUUGUUAUUAAUUCGGACAAUAUGGUAGUAAUCAAUACAAUGAAGAAAGGAGGUCAGUCUGUAGGAGUUGCGGCGAUAGUUUUUGAUCAUUGCUAUUUCCUGGCUUGUGAUUUUCCCCUUAGUAGUUUCGAACAUUGUAAUAGGGAGGCAAAUAAUGUUGCUCAUGAACUUGCUAGAUUAGCGAAAUGUUCAGAUUGUAGGGAUUGGUUUGAGGAGCCUAUGGAUGAGAUUGUACCUUUUUUCAUAGACGAUGUACCCAUUAUUUCUAAUUAA
This 285-nucleotide ribosomal RNA is filed under the name Triticum aestivum (bread wheat). RNAcentral describes it as "partial small subunit ribosomal RNA". The record is from RNAcentral. Lineage: Eukaryota; Viridiplantae; Streptophyta; Magnoliopsida; Poales; Poaceae.